GGUACGUCUUUGAAACACAUAUCAAUGGACUCCAUCACGAGUGUACUUAAGUUUGGUCCUUCCCCCUACAACAAAUCAACUGGAAAGAACAUCUAUGAUGAUACUAGUUGGAUAAACGGCGACGGUUAUUUCAGUUUUUCCAACAAGAACAAUUUAGUAGCCAUAGGGUGUGACAUUUAUGCUUACGUCAAGGAUUUAGACAUCAGUAGUGGAGAUAAUAUUAUAAGUGGAUGUGCUUCUUUCUGUGGCGACUCCACCAAAAAUGUUUCAUCUUCUUCAGCUUCAUCAUCUUAUUGCACUGGGAAUAAUGGUUGCUGUCAGUCUGCAUUUACAAAAAUACCAAGAGGGAUGAGUUUGUCUAUACAAACAAUGAACACGGAGAACACAUCGUGGACAUCAAGCAAUUGCACCUAUUUAUUGUUUGUGGAAAAGGGCAGUUCUGAGUCUGACAUCACUCAGUUACUUGGUAAG
RNAcentral lists this long non-coding RNA (471 nucleotides) under Capsicum annuum. Its description in RNAcentral is "long non-coding RNA (CANN_LNC021514)". The record is from RNAcentral. Lineage: Eukaryota; Viridiplantae; Streptophyta; Magnoliopsida; Solanales; Solanaceae.